UUGGAACGUUAACCCUAACCUCCCUCAACAUACUCAGCCGUACCCCCACCCACUUUCUCCCUAAACACACACACACGCUUUUCCCCUUUCUCAAACACAACGCAGCAAUAGUAGGAAAGAAACAAAGAAAAGAGAACCAGAGAAAAAAGGAACAGAGCUGCGAUCAGAAGAGAGGAUGAGCCACAUUGCUGCCGUCGUCCAGCUCAUCGCCUCCGUCGCGUCUUCCCUGCGCCGUCAUUCACGUUCAUUGUUGUCCAGCCGUUCGUUGCCGUUGAGGAGAAGCUGCCGUCGUCGCUGUUUUGAAGGGAGCCGUAGUCAUCGCCGUCGAGCAUGAAGGGUGUUGGAGAGAGAGAGCUCGCGUCCGAGACUGAAGAGGAGACGUGGUCUGCGCUGCUUUCUUUAUCACGAUUGGUCCGCCACUGCCACUGCUAGGGUUCGUCACCAAACCACCGUGCCGCCGUAGCUAUCUCCAGGAAGGUCGUUGGAGCUUGCUGAGGAUAUUGUUCUGGUUCUGAAGCAAUUCAUCCAUGUCAGUGCUCAUUUUUAUCCCCUGUUCUGCCUUUGCCUCUGGGUUCUGUGAGUUUCCAGAGCCCUCUGCCACCGGGGACCAAUAUUCAAGCUGCCCAGGAAACCAUCAUUAGAACCACUACUGUUUUGGUAGCUGCCGGCUCUAUUUGGAGACUGCUGCUAAGUCACCAUCGAAGCUAAGAACAGGUUCUGGGAUCUGAUGGAGCACCGCUACUGCUGUGGAUUCGUAAUAUUGGGUUUGCCGCAUCUAAAUUCUUCAAUUACGACUAAUUAAGUGACACAGGUUCGAAGACUCAGUUUGAAGUUGUGGGCGAUUAUUGACUUUACUUACAAGUUAAGUUACUUUCGUAGAGUUCCCUCGCUUGUUGCUUAAAAUUUUUUAUUUUAUACAGAGGGAUAGGUAUUGUAUUUGAGCUUUGCUUUGAUUUACUUGUAUAAGAUUUAUUAUUAUUAGUAAUUAUGUGAUUAUCAUUA
Molecule: long non-coding RNA, 1002 nt
Organism: Arachis duranensis
Lineage: Eukaryota; Viridiplantae; Streptophyta; Magnoliopsida; Fabales; Fabaceae
Exons: 3
Source: RefSeq, a predicted model, not a curated record